Molecule: ribosomal RNA, 585 nt
Filed under: uncultured bacterium
Lineage: Bacteria
Description: bacterial SSU rRNA
Rfam family: Bacterial small subunit ribosomal RNA
Source: RNAcentral
UGCAAGUCGAGCGAGAUUUUGAGGAGUAGAGACUUCGGUCAAAGCGAAUCAAAUGAAAGCGGCGGACGGGUGAGUAACGCGUGAGCAAUCUGCCCCAUACAAAGGGAUACCCACUGGAAACGGUGAUUAAUACCUUAUAAGACCACAGAGUCGCAUGGCUCAGGGGUCAAAGAUUUAUCGGUAUGGGAUGAGCUCGCGUCUGAUUAGCUAGUUGGUAAGGUAAUGGCUUACCAAGGCGACGAUCAGUAGCCGACCUGAGAGGGUGAACGGCCACACUGGAACUGAGACACGGUCCAGACUCCUACGGGAGGCAGCAGUGGGGAAUAUUGCACAAUGGGCGCAAGCCUGAUGCAGCAACGCCGCGUGAAUGAUGAAGGCCUUCGGGUCGUAAAGUUCUGUCCAAAGGGAAGAAUAAAAUGACGGUACCUUUGGAGGAAGCCCCGGCUAACUACGUGCCAGCAGCCGCGGGUAAUACGUANGGGGCAAGCGUUAUCCGGAAUCACUGGGCGUAAAGGGAGCGUAGGCGGUUUGACGAGCCAGAGGUGAAAGGCAAUAGCUUAACUAUUGUAAGCCUUUGGAACUGUC